CACUAUGCCUAGCCCUAAACAUUAAUAGUACUUUACAACUGCUAUCCGCCCGGGUACUACGAGCAUCAGCUUAAAACCCAAAGGACUUGGCGGUGCUUUAGAUCCACCUAGAGGAGCCUGUUCUAGAACCGAUAACCCCCGUUCAACCUCACCCUUUCUUGUUUAUCCCGCCUAUAUACCACCGUCGUCAGCUUACCCUGUGAAGGCCCUAUAGUAAGCAAAAUUGGCAAAGCCCAAAACGUCAGGUCGAGGUGUAGCGUAUGAAAGGGGAAGAAAUGGGCUACAUUCUCUAAACCAGGGAAUCACGAAUAAUUCAUUGAAACAUGAGUCUGAAGGAGGAUUUAGCAGUAAACGGAAAAUAGAGCGUUCCGCUGAAACCGGCCCUGAAGCGCGCACACACCGCCCGUCACUCUCCCCGAGCUUAAAAACUGCAAAUAAAUAAAACCCUACAACUGCAAAGGGGAGGCAAGUCGUAA
This 476-nucleotide ribosomal RNA is filed under the name Naso lituratus (orangespine unicornfish). RNAcentral's name for it is "partial small subunit ribosomal RNA". It matches the Rfam family "Bacterial small subunit ribosomal RNA", at positions 788 to 1491 of the family's 1533-position model. Lineage: Eukaryota; Metazoa; Chordata; Actinopteri; Acanthuriformes; Acanthuridae. The record is from RNAcentral.